GAUGAACGCUGGCGGCGUGCCUAAUACAUGCAAGUCGAGCGAACAGACGAGGAGCUUGCUCCUCUGACGUUAGCGGCGGACGGGUGAGUAACACGUGGAUAACCUACCUAUAAGACUGGGAUAACUUCGGGAAACCGGAGCUAAUACCGGAUAAUAUAUUGAACCGCAUGGUUCAAUAGUGAAAGACGGUUUUGCUGUCACUUAUAGAUGGAUCCGCGCCGCAUUAGCUAGUUGGUAAGGUAACGGCUUACCAAGGCAACGAUGCGUAGCCGACCUGAGAGGGGGACCGGCCAACCUGGAACUGGAACCGGGUCCAGACCCCUAGGGGGGGGAGGAGGGGGGAAUUUUCCGCAAGGGGCGAAAGCCGGACGGGGAAACGCCGGGGGGGGGAUGAAGGUUUUGGGAUCGUAAACCGUUUUUUUUGGGGAAGAAAAAAUGUGAAAGUAACUUGGCCCGUUUUGACGGUACCUAACCAAAAAGCCACGGCUAACUACGU
Molecule: ribosomal RNA, 496 nt
Filed under: uncultured bacterium
Lineage: Bacteria
Description: partial 16S ribosomal RNA
Rfam family: Bacterial small subunit ribosomal RNA
Source: RNAcentral